This is an RNA transcript of Megalobrama amblycephala (Wuchang bream), 1202 nucleotides long. It is a transcript of the gene named death-associated protein-like 1-B, with no coding region annotated. Lineage: Eukaryota; Metazoa; Chordata; Actinopteri; Cypriniformes; Xenocyprididae. The record is from RefSeq and is a predicted model, not a curated record. The transcript is spliced from 5 exons.
CUCCCCCGUGACGUCAGUGAGGUUCACGAGUAUUAAAGCGCGCGAGUGGGCGGACUGAAUAACAGAGUGUUUGUGUCGCAGUUGAAGAAAACUAACAAUGGUGCAACUUUCUAAAACUGGAGCGAGAGACUCGCUGAAAGCUGGUCAUCCUCCUGCAGUGAAAGCGGGAGGAAAAAGAGUCGUGAAGAAGAGCGCUGAUGAUAACGCCAAUGUGGAGAAAGAGGGCAAGAAACUGGACAAAACCAGGUCCCUGCCGACCCCGUCCAGAAUGCAGCAUCUGAGUCUUCUCCUGGCUGGUCCGCUUGAGAAGUUGGGUCAUGAUUUCCCCGAGACUCCAGUUUCUGUGCGACACAGCCGAGUCAGACCGAGCGCAGAGAAACCACACGUCCCGCGCAUCUCCUGCAUUCAACAGCCGCGCAAGUUUUGAGCCAAGGUGGCCUCCGUUGCUGAGCUUCUGACGACAUGACAUACAGGAAGUGCGUUUGUAGUUGGGUCAUGAUUUCCCAGAGACUCCAGUUUCCGUGCGGCACAGCAGAGUCAGACGAACGUGGAGAAAAUGAGAAUUUCACAAAAUGAGACUUUCAUACCAGUAAAUUCACUUUUCCAGCAAAUGAAAGAUGGUUGUAGUUUCUUUUCAUGACCGUUAGGUGGCGGUAGAAUCCUUUUAAGUAGACAUGACUUUUGCAGUUACUCUUACAAGCCUGUGAAAUUGCCUUCAUUUAGUUUAAACUUUAGUCAUUCUUGUUGUGCAGUACUAGCACUUUAACACAAGCAUGUACUAUUAAUAAUAAAUUACAGAUUUUAUAAGGAAAUGUUUCUAUAAAAGGGUUUAUCAGAGAAAUAUGGUUUGGUCAUACUCGGAUGCUUAAUUCUAACUUAUUUACACAAUGACAAGAAAAUAAACACUUCAUAAAGAGCUAUAGUUAUUUCUCUUCGAGAAAUUUAUGUUAGCUAUAAUUAUCAGCUAUGCUUUUAAGCUUAAUAUAUCCUAUUCUGUACAAGACACUAAAAGGAUGAAAAGUAAUAUUUCGAACACAGGAAAUGAUUUAAAAUUUAUCCUAAUGUUUACCUCAUAAAACUAAAGAUUUCUGUGAGUUUUGUAUAUAAAUGUUAGAAGUACUGUAUAUUAGGAAUGACUUUCCUCCCCUUGAUGUGCUUUAAUCUUCCUCACUGAUGUUUCUCAUAAAACAUGAUCGUUUACA